Molecule: ribosomal RNA, 493 nt
Filed under: uncultured bacterium
Lineage: Bacteria
Description: bacterial SSU rRNA
Rfam family: Bacterial small subunit ribosomal RNA
Source: RNAcentral
AUGAACGCUAGCGACAGGCCUAACACAUGCAAGUCGAGGGCAGCACAAGGAGCAAUCUGAGGUGGCGACCGGCGCACGGGUGAGUAACACGUAUGCAACCUGCCUGUAAGCGGGGAAUAACCCGUUGAAAGACGGACUAAUACCGCAUAAUACUAAAUUACUGCAUGGUAAUUUAUUUAAACAUUUAUGGCUUACAGAUGGGCAUGCGCAUGAUUAGCCAGUUGGAGAGGUAACGGCUCCCCAAGGCAACGAUCAUUAGGGGUUCUGAGAGGAAGGUCCCCACACUGGUACUGAGACACGGACCAGACUCCUACGGGAGGCAGCAGUGAGGAAUAUUGGUCAAUGGACGAGAGUCUGAACCAGCCAAGUCGCGUGCAGGAAGAAUGUCCUAUUGGAUUGUAAACUGCUUUUGCAGGGGAAUAAAGUGCAUCACGUGUGAUGUUUUGUAUGUACUCUGCGAAUAAGGAUCGGCUAACUCCGUGCCAGCAGCAGC